This 253-nucleotide ribosomal RNA is filed under the name uncultured bacterium. RNAcentral's name for it is "partial 16S ribosomal RNA". It matches the Rfam family "Bacterial small subunit ribosomal RNA", at positions 524 to 776 of the family's 1533-position model. The record is from RNAcentral.
AACGUAGGACACGAGCGUUAUCCGGAGUUACUGGGCGUAAAGGGCGAGUAGGUGGUGCGAUAAGACUGGUGUGAAAGCCUUCGGCUUAACCGAGGGAGGACACUGGUGACUGUCGGACUUGAGGCAGAUAGAGGGGUGUAGAAUUCCGGGUGUAGUGGUGAAAUGCGUAGAGAUCCGGAGGAAUACCAGAGGCGAAGGCGGCACCCUGGGUCUGACCUGACACUCAUGAGCGAAAGCGUGGGGAGCGAUCCGG